GCGCCCAUCUCUAGUGAAUAGAAUCCUGCCUUCAUCUCUCCUUCUUCCUCAGUGUACAAUUCAAUACACAAUACACGGGGUAGAUCAAGCCACCAUAGGUAGUCCUCUUCCUUUUCAUCUGCAUAUUCACGAUAUUUGCUCACUACUGCCUGGGGUCCAAACAGUUCCAUUUCUCUUUUCACCUUAUCAAGUUUCUCUUUGAUUAAUUUCUUUCCCUUCUCAGGUAAGUUGUCCAUCAGAUCAGCAGCUUCCUUUAUUUCUCUUUCUGUAAUCCACUUGUCCAAGUCCUUUCCUACAUCCUUCAUUACAGAUUUUAUUUCCGGAUCUGUCUCUGCAUUGUAGGAUUCCAAGAACCCUCGGGACCAUUUCUUUGUAUGCUGCCAGUACUCU
Molecule: unclassified non-coding RNA, 390 nt
Filed under: Hevea brasiliensis (rubber tree)
Lineage: Eukaryota; Viridiplantae; Streptophyta; Magnoliopsida; Malpighiales; Euphorbiaceae
Source: RNAcentral